GUUACUGCUAUCGGUGUUCGCCUAAGCCAUGCGAGUCAUAUGUAGCAAUACAUGGCGUACUGCUCAGUAACACGUGGAUAACCUGCCCUUGGGACCGGCAUAACCCCGGGAAACUGGGGAUAAUUCCGGAUAACGCAUAUUUGCUGGAAUGCUUUAUGCGUCAAAAGGAUUCGUCUGCCCAAGGAUGGGUCUGCGGCCUAUCAGGUAGUAGUGGGUGUAAUGUACCUACUAGCCAGCGACGGGUACGGGUUGUGAGAGCAAGAGCCCGGAGAUGGAUUCUGAGACAUGAAUCCAGGCCCUACGGGGCGCAGCAGGCGCGAAAACUUUACAAUGCGGGAAACCGUGAUAAGGGGACACCGAGUGCCAGCAUCAUAUGCUGGCUGUCCGGAUGUGUAAAAUACAUCCGUUAGCAAGGGCCGGGCAAGACCGGUGCCAGCCGCCGCGGUAACACCGGCGGCCCGAGUGGUGAUCGUGAUUAUUGGGUCUAAAGGGUCCGUAGCCGGUUUGGUCAGUCCUCCGGGAAAUCUGAUAGCUCAACUAUUAGGCUUUCGGGGGAUACUGCCAGACUUGGAACCGGGAGAGGUAAGAGGUACUACAGGGGUAGGAGUGAAAUCUUGUAAUCCCUGUGGGACCACCUGUGGCGAAGCGUCUUACCAGAACGGGUUCGACGGUGAGGGACGAAAGCUGGGGGCACGAACCGGAUUAGAUACCCGGGUAGUCCCAGCCGUAAACGAUGCUCGCUAGGUGUCAGGCAUGGCGCGACCGUGUCUGGUGCCGCAGGGAAGCCGUGAAGCGAGCCACCUGGGAAGUACGGCCGCAAGGCUGAAACUUAAAGGAAUUGGCGGGGGAGCACAACAACGGGUGGAGCCUGCGGUUU
This 877-nucleotide ribosomal RNA is filed under the name uncultured Methanosarcinaceae archaeon. RNAcentral describes it as "bacterial SSU rRNA". It matches the Rfam family "Archaeal small subunit ribosomal RNA", at positions 23 to 903 of the family's 1478-position model. Lineage: Archaea; Methanobacteriati; Methanobacteriota; Methanomicrobia; Methanosarcinales; Methanosarcinaceae. The record is from RNAcentral.